UUGCCUCAGUAGCACAUAUACUAAAACUACUGAAAUGAUACACAGAAGAUUAGCAUGACCCCUAUGCAAGGAUAACAUAAAAUUCUGCUUUAAAAAAAAAACACUA
Molecule: non-coding RNA, 106 nt
Organism: Otolemur garnettii (small-eared galago)
Lineage: Eukaryota; Metazoa; Chordata; Mammalia; Primates; Galagidae
Source: Rfam